RNAcentral lists this non-coding RNA (19 nucleotides) under Rattus norvegicus (Norway rat). Lineage: Eukaryota; Metazoa; Chordata; Mammalia; Rodentia; Muridae. The record is from RNAcentral.
UGGGAGUUGAGAAAGGGAA